RNAcentral lists this transfer RNA (76 nucleotides) under Denitrobaculum tricleocarpae. RNAcentral describes it as "Rhodospirillaceae bacterium R148 tRNA-Thr". It matches the Rfam family "tRNA". Rfam says of the family: Transfer RNA (tRNA) molecules are approximately 80 nucleotides in length. The record is from RNAcentral. Lineage: Bacteria; Pseudomonadati; Pseudomonadota; Alphaproteobacteria; Rhodospirillales; Rhodospirillaceae.
GCCCCAUUAGCUCAACUGGUAGAGCACCUGAUUUGUAAUCAGGGGGUUGGCAGUUCGAGUCUGUCAUGGGGCACCA